This 1475-nucleotide ribosomal RNA is filed under the name uncultured fungus. RNAcentral describes it as "eukaryotic LSU rRNA". The stretch from base 841 to 1475 matches the Rfam family "Eukaryotic large subunit ribosomal RNA", at positions 1 to 649 of the family's 3401-position model. The record is from RNAcentral. Lineage: Eukaryota; Fungi.
AAGUCGUAACAAGGUUUCCGUAGGUAGAGGUUUGCCUACCGGAGCCCUUAGCCAGCGACUCUAAAGAAAUCAGCUAUAGUCGCCCCUUCGGGGGCUGGCGACGCCAUCAAUCUGUGUCUGGGAGUGCUCUCCAACAGGGGAGCACUACCGGCAGCUCGUUGUAAUUCGAGUUCACAGGUCAAACGAUAGCGGCCACUUCGGUGGUUGAGAUAUGAUCGGCCUCCAGCUGUUACCUAGCUGGGGAGAUUUUGCGGAACCUGCGGAAGGAUCAUUAAUGAGGUGAGGGAGGCCCGCCCCUCCGCGGCGAGUGUCGGUCGAGUCCUUCCGGGCUCGGUCGGCAGUCGUCGUGCUUCUCAACCCCAUGUUUACCAUACCUUUGUUGCUUUGGCGGGCCUUGAGCAGGCUAUACGGCUCAUGCCGGCCCCAGGCUUUAUUCCUGGGGGCGGAUCGCGCCCGCCGGAGGUUUAAUCAAACUCUAUUAUCAGUGAUGUCUGAGCAAAUAUCAAAUAAUCAAAACUUUCAACAACGGAUCUCUUGGNUCUGGCAUCGAUGAAGAACGCAGCGAAAUGCGAUAAGUAAUGUGAAUUGCAGAAUUUAGUGAAUCAUCGAAUCUUUGAACGCACAUUGCGCCCCUCGGUAUUCCGGGGGGCAUGCCUGUUCGAGCGUCAUUACACCCCUCAAGCGUAGCUNGNNUUGGACUUUCGCGGNNCNNNNNAUAGGGAGGGGCUCGCGGGUCCGAAAAGCAGUGGCGGUCCCCGAGGAUUUCGCGCGUAGUAANUAUUNUCCCGCGUUGGAAAGAAUCGAUGGGUCCUGCCAAAACCCCCCAUAAUCUCCAAAAAUUGACCUCGGAUCAGGUAGGGAUACCCGCUGAACUUAAGCAUAUCAAUAAGCGGAGGAAAAGAAACCAACAGGGAUUGCCUCAGUAACGGCGAGUGAAGCGGCAACAGCUCAAAUUUGAAAUCUGGUCCUUUCAGGGCCCGAGUUGUAAUUUGUAGAGGAUGUUUCGGGUACGACGCGGGUCUAAGUCCUUUGGAACAGGGCGUCAUAGAGGGUGAGAAUCCCGUAUGUGACCCGUGAUCAAGCCCAUGUGAAACCCCUUCGACGAGUCGAGUUGUUUGGGAAUGCAGCUCAAAAUGGGUGGUAAAUUUCAUCUAAAGCUAAAUACCGGCCAGAGACCGAUAGCGCACAAGUAGAGUGAUCGAAAGAUGAAAAGCACUUUGGAAAGAGAGUCAAAAAGUACGUGAAAUUGUUGAAAGGGAAGCGCUUGCAACCAGACCUGUCCGCAGGCGAUCAGCCCUCGUUCUCGGGGGUGCACUCGUCUGUGGUCAGGCCAGCAUCGGUUCGGGCGGUCGGAUAAAGGCCUUGGGAAUGUGGCUCCUUUCGGGGAGUGUUAUAGCCCUCGGUGCAAUGCGGCCAGCCCGGACCGAGGACCGCGCCUUCGGGCUAGGAUGCUGGCGUAAUGGUUGUAAGCGACC